CAAAUUAGAGCUUGAAAUUAAGCAUCUUAUUUACAUUAAGAAGUAAAUUGUGUAAUUCAAUUUAAUUUGA
Molecule: transfer RNA, 70 nt
Filed under: Languriidae sp. KM-2017
Lineage: Eukaryota; Metazoa; Arthropoda; Insecta; Coleoptera; Erotylidae
Description: tRNA-Val
Source: RNAcentral